UUGACCUCGGAUCAGGUAGGGAUACCCGCUGAACUUAACAACAGGGAUUGCUCUAGUAACGGCGAGUGAAGCAGCAAUAGCUCAAAUUUGAAAUCUGGCGUCUUCGACGUCCGAGUUGUAAUUUGUAGAGGAUGCUUCUGAGUGGCCACCGACCUAAGUUCCUUGGAACAGGACGUCAUAGAGGGUGAGAAUCCCGUAUGCGGUCGGAAAGGCGCUCUAUACGUAGCUCCUUCGACGAGUCGAGUUGUUUGGGAAUGCAGCUCUAAAUGGGAGGUAAAUUUCUUCUAAAGCUAAAUAUUGGCCAGAGACCGAUAGCGCACAAGUAGAGUGAUCGAAAGAUGAAAAGCACUUUGGAAAGAGAGUUAAAAAGCACGUGAAAUUGUUAAAAGGGAAGGGAUUGCAACCAGACUUGCUCGCGGUGUUCCGCCGGUCUUCUGACCGGUCUACUCGCCGCGUUGCAGGCCAGCAUCGUCUGGUGCCGCUGGAUAAGACUUGAGGAAUGUAGCUCCCUCGGGAGUGUUAUAGCCUCUUGUGAUGCAGCGAGCGCCGGGCGAGGUCCGCGCUUCGGCUAGGAUGCUGGCGUAAUGGUCGUAAUCCG
This 598-nucleotide ribosomal RNA is filed under the name Cladosporium sp. SGSGf38. RNAcentral's name for it is "eukaryotic LSU rRNA". It matches the Rfam family "Eukaryotic large subunit ribosomal RNA", at positions 1 to 647 of the family's 3401-position model. Lineage: Eukaryota; Fungi; Ascomycota; Dothideomycetes; Cladosporiales; Cladosporiaceae. The record is from RNAcentral.